Vulpes vulpes (red fox) is the source of this 130-nucleotide small nucleolar RNA. Ensembl annotates it as small nucleolar RNA SNORA20. NCBI's taxonomy places the organism in Eukaryota, Metazoa, Chordata, Mammalia, Carnivora, Canidae. The record is from Ensembl.
CUUCCCAUUGAUUGCUGCUCUAGUCUUUUAGUGAUAUAAGCAGUUAUAUACAUGAGAGAGAACAGUAUUAGGGUGUUGCAAAGGGAGAUGGGAGUAACCAUUUCAUCUCUUCUGUGAAGUCCAGACAUUG